RNAcentral lists this ribosomal RNA (63 nucleotides) under Inocybe subbrunnea. RNAcentral's name for it is "partial 18S ribosomal RNA". The record is from RNAcentral. Lineage: Eukaryota; Fungi; Basidiomycota; Agaricomycetes; Agaricales; Inocybaceae.
AUNGCAAUAAACAAGAACGGGUUGUUGCUGGCUCUCCAGGGAGCAUGUGCACGCUUGGUCUCG